RNAcentral lists this ribosomal RNA (403 nucleotides) under Verrucomicrobiota bacterium. RNAcentral's name for it is "Verrucomicrobia bacterium partial 16S ribosomal RNA". It matches the Rfam family "Bacterial small subunit ribosomal RNA", at positions 355 to 776 of the family's 1533-position model. Lineage: Bacteria; Pseudomonadati; Verrucomicrobiota. The record is from RNAcentral.
UGGGGAAUAUUGCACAAUGGGGGAAACCCUGAUGCAGCGACGCCGCGUGAACGAAGAAGGUUUUCGAAUCGUAAAGCUCUGUCCUAUGAGAAGAUAAUGACGGUAUCAUAGGAGGAAGCCCCGGCUAAAUACGUGCCAGCAGCCGCGGUAAUACGUAUGGGGCGAGCGUUGUCCGGAAUUAUUGGGCGUAAAGGGUACGUAGGCGGUCUAUUAAGUCAGGUGUGAAAGCGUGAGGCUUAACCUCAUUAAGCACUUGAAACUGAUAGACUUGAGUGAAGGAGAGGAAAGUGGAAUUCCUAGUGUAGCGAUGAAAUGCGUAGAUAUUAGGAGGAAUACCGGUGGCGAAGGCGACUUUCUGGACUUUUACUGACGCUCAGGUACGAAAGCGUGGGGAGCAAACAGG